Molecule: long non-coding RNA, 1166 nt
Organism: Lycium ferocissimum
Lineage: Eukaryota; Viridiplantae; Streptophyta; Magnoliopsida; Solanales; Solanaceae
Exons: 2
Source: RefSeq, a predicted model, not a curated record
UUAAAUUUGGUGUUUUGAUAUAGAUUUGCAAUGUAUAAGUGUAUCUAAUUUUUGGGUCCCGUGGAAAUUUUUUUGUUGAGAUAUAUAUGAUACCUCAGGUUGAUAUAAGGCUAUGGCUUGUGACUCUGGCUUUUGUUAUCUUUAGUGUUAUGCAAUUUUAAUAGAUUGGAAAGUUGUGUGUUGUUACCUGGCGCAUAUAUCUUGUACUAGUGGGAGGUUACCGUGGUAUAUGCCAGUGCCCGAUGUCUUAGUUUGUAGAUUCUAUUAUGCUAGGAAUCCACAUUUCUUAUAUUAUUAUGAUGGAGUCUAUUGUUUUGUUCGUUUAACCCGCAAAAAAACUUUAAAGGUAAAAUAUCAUACAAAAUUUUACUUAUCAAAAAAACAAAUAGCACAGAGAAUUUUUUUCUAGUGAAACAACUGUUUCGAACAUCAAAAAUGCUCACUACUUGUCUUUACACACACACAGACAUUAUUUAUAGUUGUUUAUCCAUCAUAUUUGAACCAUCUUUUAACGAUGUCCUUUCUUCUUAAGUGCUAUUUUUCUUUUAUUUGGGGGAUAUUAGGGAGCUGCAGGGUGAGGGUGUUGUGCAGCCACUGGUAAAAAUGGUUUCUUUACUUAUUUUUUUCCCUUUUAAGCACUUGGACAGAAUCCUCUUCGCAUACCAAUGACUAUCUCUUGAAAUCUGAAUAUUUCAGGCUCGUAGCAUGUAAUAUAUAAUUUGCAACGCACGGAUACACAUAUAUAAUGACACUCUGGAGUUCUAGCGUACAUUUGCUUAAUCUAUGGUGCUCCCUGUUCUCAGGGUAAUAUCCUGGCAGAUUCUGCCUCUGAGCGACUUGAAUUUACUGCUCACAAAGGACAAGAGACCCAAAGUAUCAACAAAAGGUUCUGAAGACUCGAGUCUAUAAAGUGAAGAUGCAAAUUUUGAAGACUUUCUUACGAGUCAAUUAUCAUUUUGCUAGGAGUGUUAGCCUGAAGCUUAUGCUAUUUAGGAAGGAAUAUAUAUAUAUAUAUAUAUAUAUAUAUAUAUAUAUAUAUAUAUAUACACACACACACACUUAUAUUUGGCUGGGGUUUUGUGUAAUAAUGCAAUGACUAAUAGGCUACUUUAUUUGCUUUUUCUAAUUAAUUACAGAAGUAUGAAUGAAAGAAUGGUACUUUCUUA